CCAGACCUAACCCAAGCACCAGCCUACACCACAGCCUAACCGCAAGAACCACCACCACCGCGCGCCAGAAGAGGAAACACCAGCGCUACGCACUCGCCCCGCCCAAACCCACCCCACCCCCACAAGUCGGUUGCUUAAGCAACACCCCAGGAGAACCGGCAGAGGAGACACAAGCAGAAAACUAAACGGGCCAGAUGUGGCGCUGACUAGGCGGGCUCCAGCCCGCUGCAAGACGCGCUGCGCAGGAAGUCCCACAGCCGCCCAGGCGCUGCGACGCCAGCAAGAGCUAAAACACAUGGGCGCCAGAUAAGCUGAUGACGAUAAACGCCACGCCAGCGCCUGGAACGAAACGCCGCCCAAAAGGAAACCUAGGGGGCCUGCACAGGGGAUGCAAGCGUCAGCCGCAAGUGCAACUUCGGUGACCCACCCUGAACCUCCUCCACUUCACAAAGCGCGCCACCCGCCGACCAGAUGGCAACAAAGUGCUCCAGCUUAGCCGCCUUGAGCUGUGCGGUGAGAAGCUGAGUGGGCAGAGCCGACAGGGUUUCAGGGGUUAGCGUGGCGGCAGUGAAACGCAGCCGCAUCACCCUGCGCAGCUCGCUGACCACCUCCCGAACCACAUGCUCCGACGUCUGCUUAGCAGGCUCGCGGGACCAGUACGCACACCAGACGGCGUACAAGAAGGUGGCCCGCAAAGUGCUCCACAGCAGCGCGCCCGCCCCCCGCGGGCCUGAGGCCCACAUACCCAUGCGGUCCCCCAGCAUGAAGCCCGCGUCCGUCACUGGCGGCGCCGCUGCCUGGGGCGCAACGCAGGCCCACAGCUGCUGCAGCCACGUCCUCGCCUGCGCAUAAGCUGGACACUCCAGGAAGAUGUGCGUCAGGCUGGCCCACGCCCGCGGGCCAGGUGGCCCGCAGGCGGGGUGAGGACAGUGCGCCCCCAACCCCCCGCACCCCGUGGUCACCCGUGGACGAAUUCCCUUUCCCGCCCUGUACAGCCCGCAAGGCAGGUAAGCAUGUUGCAGCCGGUACACCAGGACCUUUGCCCCCCGACUGGCGUGGCUGUCCCACAGCCUCCGCCACGUACCCCGCAGAAGGGACGCAUCCGGGGGCGGCAUGCGAGGGUCGCCCUCCACCGCCGCCGCUGCUGCCGCCGCCGCCGUGGCAGGCCCAGUGCUAGGUCCCGCCCCUCCCGCCGCCUGCUCCUGCAGCCGCGCGGACCGCCGCGGCCCCUCACCCGACUGCUGGGACGGGGACGCAUACGACUGCAGUUCUCUCGCCGGCGUGUUCUGCAGCCCGGCUGCCGCAGAGGUGCGGUGGAGCCAGGGGUCCAGAGCCACCGGGUUAUUGUGGAAGUGCUGCGCCGCCGUGGUGGUCAGCUGCGCCGCUGCACGCUGCCACUCCGCCUCCCGCUCCGCCAGCCGCGACUGUGCCGCCGGCUGGGUCCCCGAACCCCCCGCCUUUUUUUUUUUGAGGAAUCAUCCUUACAAGGUUGAACAGGGGCAGACGCGCUGCCCCCCUGCUGCCUGAAAGCAGCCUGGUCCCCGAGACCAGAACCCUGACAGGGCAAGAAGAGAAGAAAAGAGAAGAAAAACAGAAAACAAACACCUCGAAAAACCGCCACCAACCACCCAUCCAUCCCACCCCACCCCACCCCGACCCGGCAGACAGAGCAGGAGGCUGGCCCCCCCGCCCCCCGGGAGGGGUUGCACAAAAACACCGCCAGACCUAACCCAAGCACCAACCUACACCACAGCCUAACCGCGAGAACCACCACCACCGCGCGCCAGAAAGGAAAACACCAGUGCUACCAACACUCGACCCGCCGUAACCCACCCCACCCCCACAAGUCGGUUGCUUGAGCAACACCCCAGGAGAACUGGCAGAGGAGACACAAGCAGAAAACUAAACGGGCCAGAUGUGGCGCUGACUAAUCGGGCUCCAGCCCGCUGCAAGACGCGCUGUGCAGGAAGGCCCACAGCCGCCCAGGCGCUGCGACGCCAGCCAGAGCUAUGACACAUGGGGCGCCAGAUAAGCUGAUGACGAUAAUACGCCACGCCAGCGCCUGGAAAGAAACGCCGCCCAAAAGGAAACCUAGGGGGCCUGCACAGGGGAUGCAAGCGUCAGCCGCAAGUGCAACUUCGGUGACCCACCCUGAACCUCCUCCACUUCACAAAGCGCGCCACCCGCCGUCCAGAUGGCAACAAAGUGCUCCAGCUUAGCCGCCUUGAGCUGUGCGGUGAGAAGCUGAGUGGGCAGAGCCGACAGGGUUUCAGGGGUUAGCGUGGCGGCAGUGAAACGCAGCCGCAUCACCCUGCGCAGCUCGCUGACCACCUCCCGAACCACAUGCUCCGACGUCUGCUUAGCAGGCUCGCGGGACCAGUACGCACACCAGACGGCGUACAAGAAGGUGGCCCGCAAAGUGCUCCACAGCAGCGCGCCCGCCCCCCGCGGGCCUGAGGCCCACAUACCCAUGCGGUCCCCCAGCAUGAAGCCCGCGUCCGUCACUGGCGGCGCCGCUGCCUGGGGCGCAACGCAGGCCCACAGCUGCUGCAGCCACGUCCUCGCCUGCGCAUAAGCUGGACACUCCAGGAAGAUGUGCGUCAGGCUGGCCCACGCCCGCGGGCCAGGUGGCCCGCAGGCGGGGUGAGGACAGUGCGCCCCCAAUCCCCCGCACCCCGUGGUCACCCGUGGACGAAUGCCCUUGCCCGCCCUGUACAGCCCACAAGGCAGGUAAGCAUGUUGCAGCCGGUACACCAGCACCUUUGCCCCCCGACUAGCGUGGCUGUCCCACAGCCUCCGCCACGUACCCCGCAGAAGGGACGCAUCCGGGGGCGGCAUGCGAGGGUCGCCCUCCACCGCCGCCGCUGCUGCCGCCGCCGCCGUGGCAGGCCCCGUGCUAGGCCCCGCCCCGCCCGCCGCCUGCUCCUGCAGCCGCGCGGAACGCCGCGGCCCCUCACCCGACUGCUGGGACGGGGACGCAUACGACUGCAGUGUUCUCGCCGGCGUGUUCUGCUGCCCGGCUGCCGCGGAGGUGCGGUGGAGCCAGGGGUCCAGAGCCACCGGGUUAUUGUGGAAGUGCUGCGCCGCCGUGGUGGUCAGCUGCGCCGCUGCACGCUGCCACUCCGCCUCCCGCUCCGCCAGCCGCGACUGUGCCGCCGGCUGGGUCCCCGAACCCCCCGCCUGCUGUGCUGGCGCCGGGCACGGCAUGGCUGCGGGGCGGGCCGGAGCCAGAGGGGCGGCCGGGUUGGCCGCGGUGAUGGCCCGCCGCACGUCCCGCACCGUGUAGUCCGCCAAGCUGACACCCGCAAUCCGGCAGUGCUCCGGGUGCACCACCACCCCAGCCUCCGGCGCCAGGAAGUACGGCGCCCGAGGCCACGCCCCUGCCCGUUCCCCUGGUGAUGCUGCAUCGUACGCCGCCCGCUCUUCAAAGGUCCACAGGUGCCGCGGCUUGCGGUGCUGCAGCACACAGGCAGGCUGCCACGCCCCAUCCACUGCCGGGGGCAGCACGCCAGGCCCAGGCUCCAAGAGCCGCCCCGUGUAGUGGACGUAGGACACAGCCCCCGCAGCGUUAGCCACCCACAGCUGGUCCAGGCUAACCCGCCACUGUGGCGGCGCCGCUGGCGGCUGAGUGGCUGGCUGCGGCGGAUGCUGUUCCACGCCCGCGCUCCGCACGUGGCCGACCGCGGCCGCCAGCCGGGCAGGCAGCCCCGCUGGCGCCGGCGCGUCGCUGUACACCCACGCCCACGUGGUGGCGGAGUCCGGGCGCACAUGAGUAAGCAGCCUGCUGUGCUGGCGCCGGGCACGGCAUGGCUGCGGGGCGGGCCGGAGCUGGAGGUGCGGCCGGGUUGGCCGCGGUGAUGGCCCGCCGCACGUCCCGCACCGUGUAGUCCGCCAAGCUGACACCCGCAAUCCGGCAGUGCUCCGGGUGCACCACCACCCCAGCCUCCGGCGCCAGGAAAUACGGCGCCCGAGGCCACGACCCCGCCCGGUCCCCUGGUGAUGCUGCAUCGUACGCCGCCCGCUCUUCAAAGGUCCACAGGUGCCGCGGCUUGCGAUGCUGCAGCACACAGGCAGGCUGCCACGCCCCAUCCACCGCCGGGGGCAGCACGCCAGGCCCAGGCUCCAAGAGCCGCCCCGUGUAGUGGACGUAGGACACAGCCCCCGCAGUGUUAGCCACCCACAGCUGGUCCAGGCUAACCCGCCACUGCGGCGGCGCCGCUGGCGGCUGAGUGGCUGGCUGCGGUGGGUGCUGUUCCACGCCCGCGCUCCGCACGUGGCCGACCGCGGCCGCCAGCCGGGCAGGCAGCCCCGCUGGCGCCGGCGCGUCGCUGUACACCCACGCCCACGUGGUGGCGGAGUCCGGGCGCACAUGAGUAAGCAGCGCCCGGGUGAGCAUCUUCCAGGGUUGCCGGCCUGGCUGGGCAAGGAGGGCGAAGGUCUUAGCUUGCAGGGCAGACAGGAACGCAGGCAGGUCGACGUGGUUGACACCCCCAUUCUUGUACGUCAGACAGGCCGUUUCCCGCUUUGGCAGCAGGAGCGGGUUCCCGUGCGACACCAGGCUGGCGUCCUCAGCGUGCAUGGAGCGCGCAGCAAAGUGGUCCACCAGAUCGGUGAGUUCCUUCAGCUGCGCAGGCGACGGGUUGAGCAAGCUGAAGUGGUAGGCCAGCUUCGCCGCCAGCACCUGCUUCGCAAUGUGCACACGGCCAACCAGAGUCAGAGACAGGGCAGCCCACAGACGCGCCACAAACGCCAUGCCGCGAGCCCGCCGGGUGUACAAGUCAGCUGCAGCCGCAUCAGAGUCCCACGACAGGGGCACACCCAGGUGCGUCACGGCGCCAGUGGUAAACGGCACCCCCGUGUGUGGGCAAGGGCCCGUCAGGUGCGCAAACCUGCCAAGGCCCAUGGCCUUGCUCUUGUCCGGAUGGACACGGGCGUUGGACGCGCGGCAGAACAGCUGUACUGCCGCCAUCAGGACCGGCCCGUCCACCGCCGGGUCGCGUGCCGUGAGGGUCGUGUCGUCAGCGUGGUGGGCAGCCGGUGGCGCCUGCUCGCCGCUGGGUAACAGGGGCGUGCGCAGUGCCCCUUGCUCCACCUGCCGCCGCAGAAAGGACGUAAGUGGCUGCAUCUGGAUAAUCCACAGGGGUGGUGAGGCGGUGCUGCCCUGCGGCAAGCCGUUCAGCACUGGGAAGGCGUCAGAGAGCAUCCCGUUCACACACACGCGGGCAGAGCCGUUGGCAGUGAGCAGGCUGCGAGCAGGCCAUCGCCUUCCACUACAGCCUGGCGGGCCUGCCCAACCCAGCCGCAGCGGAAAGCUGCGCAAACGUGCGCGCCACCGCGGCCCGGCGGCUGCAGGUGCAGCGCUUGCAUCGGGAGGCCAUGUCCGCCGCCGACCUGGCGGCGGUCCUGUGCGCCCACGCCGGGCCCGGCGCCCCGCUGCUGCGCCUCAUGAUGGCCACGACCGUGGCCCUCAUGUUCUACGGUUUCCUGCGGUUUGACGACAUGGCGGAGGUCAGCGUUCACGCCGACCUGCUGCUCAUCACGCCCCGCCACAUGGCCAUUUUCAUCCCCCGGUCCAAGACCGACGUGGCCAUGGACGGUCAGUGGGUGCACAUCGCCCGGCUGCCCCACCUAGGCGGUUUCUGCCCCGUGGCGCUCACGGAGCGGCUGCUGCGCCAAGGCGCCUACCGCCGCCUUCCGGCGGCGGCCGAUGAGGACGUCGGGCCGCUGCUCCGUACGGUGCAGUACACGGCCGCCGGCGGCCGGCUGCAGCGCCUGGUGGGCACGCGGGCUUCGCCGGUGUUCAGCAUGUCUUACGGCGCUUUCCGCUCCAACUUCCUGGCCCGCCUGCGGGAGGCGGGCGUCUCGGGCAACAUCAAGCCGCACUCGAUGCGCAUUGGUGGCAACAGCGCCGCGGCUGACGCGGGAGUUCCGGCGUCCCUGCGGCAGGUGCACGGCCGCUGGAAGCCCGCCACUAUGGUCGGUCACUACACACGCCCCACCCUCGAGGACACCCUCGGUGUCACCCGCGCUAUGGGCCUCGCUGGAGGAUCGCUCGGCCCUUCCGGCGCCGGCGCCUCCGGCAUCCGUGCUGUUGCCUCGGUGUCGCCGCCGGUUCGCGCGGCCGCCGGCCCUCGGCCCGCCGCCGUGGUUUUGGCGGCGCCGCCGGCUGGCGGCUUGGCCGCUGGCGCGGUGGCGCCUUUGGCGGCGCCCCGGGCGCUGGUGCUUCGUGGCGUGGGCCGCUCGUCUCGCCGGGGCGUCACGCGUGGCGUGCGGGUUGCUCAUGGUGUUCGGCUCGCCGUGUCGGGCCGUCGGCGUUCGAGUUAGCUUGUUGGCUGCGCUUUGGUUGCGGUGGCUCCGUUCUGAGGCUGUGUUGUUGUUUGCUGCUGUUCGGUUUUGUUGCUCGGGUGUGGCGUGUGUUGUCGCGGCGUUCGCCCGCCUUGCGCCGUCUCUGGUCGUCGGGCCUGUGUGCUGCUUUCGGUUCGGUUGUCUUUUGCUUUUCUGUGUUGCUUUCGUUCCGGCGCGUCGGCGUCGCGCGGGCGCUCUUGCGCCCUGGGCUUGUGUGUGUUGGCUCUCGCCGCUUGUAAGGCCCUCCUCCAUUACUUUACUCUCUUCUCUUGCUAUUCUUGCAUCCUCUCUUCCUUCUGCACAGCUUUGAAACAGUCGACGUCAUUUCUCUCGCGCUGUUUGACUUGCUUCCUUUUGUUUUAGGCUUCUUAAGGCCUACGAACCACUGUGAAGCAGUUUGCAUUUGUGGGCGUCCUCGUUUUUCGUCAGUCCACUUUGCAGCUGUAGCGCGACACUCCCUCUCCAGCGCCCUUCAGCCUAUGCCGGCUUGUGCUUUGGAACUCGACACUGCUAUGGAAUAGGAUUCUGGCGGUUCAGGAGCGUCGCCGUGGAGUUGGCGACAUUUCGCUUGUCGGCAUUUUAACAUCUCGGCGAGCACCACACUUCACCAGCUUGGAGCCGGCGGCGUAUCAACCUUUGUGGUUGGUCAUUUGCAUCCGCGCGUGCAGCAGGGUGCUUUGGGUGUGGCGGUCGGGGGAGCCCUGCAGCACUUGGCUGUUUUUUUGGGGUGUGGCUCGUCUUCGUGCCCUUGUUGCCUGGUGCCUGGUUGCCUGGCGCCCGCCCUGCUGUGAUGCCCUGUGAGUGCUGAUCCUGGGCAGCUAUGCAGUUGCUGGGUGAUCCUGGUCGGUUCCGCCUGGUGUCUCAGCGCAGCCAAGACACCAGGGGCCAACGCCAGCCAUACAGCACACCCGCUCACGGCGCGGCCACAGCAGCACAUGCCGUGCCGUGUGGGGGGCCUGCAUUUGGGCAUCGCCGCCCACUGCCAGACUUGGCAGCGGACAGCACCCCUGCAGGUGGGGGCAACACUGCCAGCCCGUUCUUCAGCCCCGGGCUGCAGCUCCACCUUGCCCUGUCUAUGCAUAGCCUGGCGGACGGCGUGCAGGACCUGACGACUCAGCCCCAGGGCCCCAGCCUGCCUACCUACCCAGUCCUUCUGGUGGGUGCCACCACGGGGCUCCCAGAGGGCGAGCAGCUGUCCUCAGCCGGCGUCCGGGAAGUGACCAGUGCUGCCCUGUCAGUGCUGGACACCAUGUGCCGGCAGGGCAACCAGCCGCAGCUCUUGCAGGGCCACUCUCUGCACAGCACAGGCCGCCCCUCCCGCACGUUUGCGGGGCUGGCCUUCAGCCGGCGCGCGACCAGCGCCAGCAAAGCAGCCUUCACAGCGGAGCUCAUGCGCAAGUCGCCGCUGGCGGUACCGCUCCAGCGUGGUCAGGCUGUCCUCACGGUUCACGUGCCAGUGGACACCCGGCCCAUCAUUCCGGGCACCUACACCGUCACGGUCAAGAUGGUAGGGGGCCCUGUGUGGGGGGCUUUCCGCGGUCGCACCGAUUUGGGGCUGCAGGCUGGUGGCUAUCCCACCACCUCGGACCCCUCGAACCUGGCGUGUGCUUAUGUGGUCUCAGAGCAGUGCGCCAAAUCGGUGGGCCCCAAGGGGGAGCCCCAGGCCCCCGCAGGCCAGGGCAUCACCAACCACAUCUUUGCCUGUGUACGGGGCCCAGUCUGGGACCCGCAGCUCUCUCACCUGCAUUGUGCCAAGUUUGAGAUGCCAGGUGAGGAGCCCAUGCAGGUGGAGGUCCGUGGCGCCCCCCAGGCGGCUGGGACGGCCACGACAGCUGCGGCAGGCAGCCUUGCUCAGGCUGCAGCCGGGGUCGCCGACCUGGGAGGCAACACCUUGGGUGUGGUGAGGCCCGCGGCUGCCAUGGCGACCGCAGCGGACAUCGUUGACCACGUGGGGGACGUGCAGAUGCAGGAGGCGGCGGGUUUGGGUGACGCGGCGGCUGCAGCUGGUGGCGCCAGCGGGCCACACAGCAGGGCCCCGCCCCCGCUGCCAGUUCUGGUGGCGGGGGGAAGCAACCGUGCUGCUGCGGCUGCCCUGCGGGCCGCACUGCAGCAGCAGCCCUCUUCGCAGCAGCGGGUGACCGCGGGAGGGCUUAGCGGGGUCCAGCCGGCGGCAGGCGUGGGGGGGCCGCCGGCAGCCAGGCCUCGCCCUGCCGGUGCUGGGCCGGCUGGCGUGCAGCAGCAGCCCAGUGGCGCUCCCGCGCCACGGCCGCCCUUGGAUCAGCAGGCAGCCGCUGGGCAGGAUCAGGAGCAGACCGCUGUGAUGCAGCGGUACUUGGCCGAGCUGGCGGACCUCAAUCUCCAGCAGAAACGGCGGUUACAGCAACAGCAGCAGCAGGAGCUGCAGCGCCAGGGGCAGUCGCCCAGGCCCCGGACCGGCUCCCAGGUUGUGGUCCUGGCCACGCGGGGGGGGCAGGACGGGGCGGGCGGUUGCCCUGGCGUGGCGGCGUCACGGCGUGGGCAACGUGUUGACAUAGUUGACCACAUGGGGGACGUGCAGAUGCAGGAGGCGGCGGGUGUGGGUGACACAGCGGCUGCCGCUGGUGGCGCCAGCGGACCACCCGCCGUGGCCUCGCCCUCGCUGCCAGCUCUGGUGGCGGGGGGAAGCACCCAUGCUGCUGCGGCUCCCCUGAGGGCCGAGCGACAGCAGCAGCCCUCUUCACAGCAGCGGGUGGCAGCGGGAGGGCUUAGCGGGGGGCAGCCGUCGGCAGGCGUGGGGGGGCCACCGGCGGUCAGGCGUCGUACUGCCGGUGCUGGGUCGGCUGGCGCGCAGCAGCAGCCCAGUGGGGCUCCCGCGUCACAGCCGCCCUUUGAUCAGCGGGCAGCCGCCAGGCAGGAUCAGGAGCAGACCGCUGUGAUGCAGCGGUACUUGGCCUACAUGGCGGACCUCCAUCUCCAGCAGCAACGGCGGGUACAGCAACAGCAGCAGCAGGAGCAGCAGCGCCAGGUGCAGCCGCCCAGGCCCCGGACCGGCUCCCGGUUUGCGGUCCUGGCCACGCUGGGGGGACAGGACGGCGUGGGUGAUGGCGCUGCCACGGCGGCGUCUGGGCGUGGGCGACGGGCGCAACCAGCCGUGCACGCACCGCCGCCGCCGCCACAGCAACAGCCCCGCUCUAAAGGGCGCGGUGGCCCCGCCCAGCUCCCGCAGCAGAGGGCAGGGCGCUUGGGCGGCGGGCUGCCUCCCCCGCAGGACGGUGCUAGCUCGCCACCGCACGUGCCCACUGGGCGGCCGGCCGGGGGACAGCAGGAUGGUGGGGGCAGCGGGUCGGGGCGCCAGGGUGGAGGAGCGGGGCAGGCAGUGCCUCAGCCGCCGCCCCAGGCGCGGCCGCCACUGCAGACGUUACAACCGGCGGGUGGUGGUAAGGGCAGGGGCAGGGGCCUGGGCGCGCCGGCUGGGGCUUCGGCCGACAUGGCUGGGCGCGCGGGUGGGGGUGCGGGCAGUGAGGCGGAGUACGGGGCCGUUUGCCUGACCCGGGACGCAUGUGUUGCCAUCGGCUCUGACCUCGUGACGCACCAGAACCGCUGCGCAGAUGUGCAGGGGUUUGAGUGGGCGCAGCUGGGCCACGACACGCUUGGUGGCCGCCUCCUCGCCUACCUCCGUGACCAGGGCGCCACCGUACCGGACUGGGCCGUCUGCCGCGUGCCGGCCGGCCGUACCGCCGUCCUGGCACAGCUGCGCGACGAGUUCACUGGCUGGUGGCGCCUGUACUCAGCCCAGCCUGCAGAUACACCCCUGCCUUCCGACGUGACGGAGCAGCUGGAUGACGCCGCGCAGCAGGUGCAGACGGCCUACAUGGACUACGUGCUCCUAGACGCCCGCACCCUGCGGUCCGCUAAGCGUGGGCCGGCGGACCCCGGCGGGGCCAGCGGGCCCAGCCGCCGGCAACGCCAGCACCGCAGCCGCAGUACCUCCAGCCUCAUGAGCCUGGGCAGCGCUCCAUUGCACCCCGGCGGCGCCAGCUCAGGUGCCGUUAGCAUGAGCACCAGCGGCGGCGGCGCGCCCCCCAGCCAGGGUGGCGGCCGCCGCGGCAAACGCCACAGCAGCAACAGCAACCGCAACCGCCACGGCGCUGCCGUGGCCGGCGGGGGCUCAUAAUGCGGCCACCAGUGGGAGCGGCGAACCUUCGGCUGCUGACAGUGAAUGUCAACGGCCUGGGCUCGCCGUUGAAGGCGCGGGCGCUGGUCUCGCACCUUCAGCAAGUUGGGGCGGAUGUGGCGAUGGUGCAGGAGACCCACGCUACUGACACGACGGCGCUGGAGUCUUGCCUUCGUGCCGCGCAGGGGGCGUGCCUUCCGUGGCGCCACUGCCUCGCUGCCAGCCCGGCAGCGUCGCCCCGCUCCUGUGGGACGGCUAUCCUGGCGCGGAGUCAGCUGUCCCUUCCAGGCUGCGUACUGCAGCCGCCGUCAACGGAUGCGGCGGGCCGUGUGGUAUGUUGGGAUUGGGACGUGGGUCACCUGCGCCUGCGCUUUGUGUGUGUGUAUGCGCCCACGGCCGUGGCGGACAAGCCUGCUUUCUUUGCCGGGCUGCAUCCCCACCUGGCCACGGACAGGGUGCUUGUUGUCGGUGGGGACUGGAACUGUGUCACCGAUGCCAGUCAGGAGGCGGCCCCUAGCCCGUCACGUGCUGCAGGUGCCCCGCAACUUGCCAGCCUCCUCGCCCAGUUCAGUCUGGUGGACCCUUGGGCGAGCAAGCGUGGCGGCGCCAAGGGCUACACGCAUCCGGCCACACCCAAGCCGGCCACUCCCGCACGCCUGGAUCGGUGGUAUGUCAGUGCCACCGCAGCGCCGUGGGUGGUGGAUGUCGCUCGCACGUACGGGGCGCCUGGGGACCACAACGGUGUGCUGCUCACCCUGUCCUUGCCCGACCUGCCACAUGCGCACCGGGAGCAGUGGCGCUUCCCCACCUACCUGCUGUUUCACCCCUCGCUGCGUUUGGAGCUCAAGCAGCGCUUGGAGGCGCACGUUGCCGCAAAUCCCGUGGCCAGUACAGGUGACGGCGCUUGCACGCAAUGGGAGGCGGACAAGUUCUUCUUGCGGGAGGCCGCCACCAGCAUCCACCGUCGGCAUGCACGCCAGACCCGGGACGGGCUGCAUGGGGUGGUGCUGGCCGCAGACGCGGCCGCUGCCCUGGCCGACCGGCCGGGUGCCAGCGCCACGCAGCGUCAGGCUGCGGCCAUGGCCAACUUGGCGGUGCGGGAGGAGCGGGCAGCUGCCGCAGCAGCCAGCCACAAUGCCCGCGCUGCACUGAUGGAGGAGCAUGGGGAGCGGGGCACACGCUGGUUCCAUCGGCAGGCUGACGAGCCAGCAGCCGGCGCGCAGGAGCCCAUCACGCACUUGAAGGUGCCGGGGCAACCGGCGCCUGUGGCGCUCACGGGGCCGGGCACGCGCAACACUGUCUCCGCAGCCGCCGCAGCCAUGUACAGCAGCACCAGCCCCACCGGCCUGUUCCGCGUGCAGCCUGUCUGUACGGUGUCGCAGCAACAGCUUCUGGAGGCCAUUGACCGCAAGGUUCCGGCGGAUCUGCAGGCCGCCGCAGAGGGGUCCGGUGACGGCGCCCUCAGUGAUGCGGAGCUGAUGGCAGCGCUGGCUGGCUCCGCCAAUGGUAAAGCGCCUGGGUCGGACGGGGUCCCGUACGAGGUGUACAAGGUUUUCUGGGCGCUGCUGGGUCCGCGCUUGUGUGCUGCUGCUGCCGCUGCCUUUGCUGCCGCUGCAGACGCCCACGAUGGCGGUGAAAUGGCGGCGGCGCUGCCCGCCUCCUGGCGGGAGGGCAUCAUAACCCUCAUCUACAAGGGCAAAAGCCUGGACCGCGCCGAGCUGGCGUCCUACCGGCCCAUCACGCUGCUCAACUGCGACUUCAAGAUGGUGUCCAAGGCCGUCAGCGCCCGCCUGCAGCCCGCCCUGGAUGCAGUUGUGGAUGAGCUGCAGACCGCGUUCAUCACCGGCCGCUGGAUUGGAGACAAUGCGCUGUACCUCCAAGGCCUGAUCGAAUGGAUGCGCCUGGACGUGGGCGCGGACGGCACGCCACGGCAGGGUGGUGCGCUGUACUUCUUGGACAUUGAAAAGGCGUAUGACCGGGUGCACCGACAGUGGCUGUAUGCGUCCGCGGAGGGACUGGGGUUUGGGCCGCGCAUGCUACGCUGGAUCCGCCUGCUCACUGCCAACGGCUCUGCCCGCGUGUGUGUGAACGGGAUGCUCUCUGACGCCUUCCCAGUGCUGAACGGCUUGCCGCAGGGCAGCACCGCCUCACCACCCCUGUGGGUCAUCCAGAUGCAGCCACUGACGUCCUUUCUGCGGCGGCAGGUGGAGCAAGGGGCACUGCGCACGCCCCUGUUACCCAGCGGCGAGCAGGCGCCACCGGCUGCCCACCACGCUGACGACACGACCCUCACGGCGCGCGACCCGGCGGUGGACGGGCCGGUCCUGAUGGCGGCAGUACAGCUGUUCUGCCGCGCGUCCAACGCCCGUGUCCAUCCGGACAAGAGCAAGGCCAUGGGCCUUGGCAGGUUUGCGCACCUGACGGGCCCUUGCCCACACACGGGGGUGCCGUUUACCACUGGCGCCGUGACGCACCUGGGUGUGCCUCUGUCGUGCGACUCUGUUGCAGCUGCAGCUGACCUGUACACCCGGCGGGCUCGCGGUAUGGCGUUUGUGGCGCGUCUGUGGGCUGCCCUGUCUCUGACUCUCGUUGGCCGUGUGCACAUUGCGAAGCAGGUGCUGGCGGCGAAGCUGGCCUACCACUUCAGCUUCCUCAACCCGUCGCCUGCGCAGCUGAAGGAACUCACCGACCUGGUGGACCACUUUGCUGCGCGCUCCAUGCACGCUGAGGACGCCAGCCUGGUGUCGCACGGGAACCCGCUCCUGCUGCCAAAGCGGGAAACGGCAUGUCUGACGUACAAGGACGGGGGUGUCAACCAUGUCGACCUGCCUGCGUUCCUGUCUGCCCUGCAAGCUAAGACUUUCGCCCUCCUUGCCCAGCCAGGCCGGCAACCCUGGAAGAUGCUCACCCGGGCGCUGCUUACCCAUGUGCGCCCGGACUCAGCCACCACGUGGGCGUGGGUGUACAGCGACGCGCCAGCGCCAGCGGGGCUGCCUGCCCGGCUGGCGGCCGCGGUCGGCCACGUGCGGAGCGCGGGUGUGGAACAGCAUCCGCCGCAGCCAGCCACUCAGCCGCCAGCGGCGCCGCCACAGUGGCGGGUUAGCCUGGACCAGCUGUGGGUGGCUAACGCUGCGGGGGCUGUGUCCUACGUCCACUACACGGGGCGGCUCUUGGAGCCUGGGCCUGGCGUGCUGCCCCCGGCGGUGGAUGGGGCGUGGCAGCCUGCCUGUGUGCUGCAGCAUCGCAAGCCGCGGCACCUGUGGACCUUUGAAGAGCGGGCGGCGUACGAUGCAGCAUCACCAGGGGAACGGGCGGGGGCGUGGCCUCGGGCGCCGUACUUCCUGGCGCCGGAGGCUGGGGUGGUGGUGCACCCGGAGCACUGCCGGAUUGCGGGUGUCAGCUUGGCGGACUACACGGUGCGGGACGUGCGGCGGGCCAUCACCGCGGCUAACCCGGCCGCACCUCCGGCUCCGGCCCGCCCUGCAGCCAUGCCGUGCCCAGCGCCAGCACAGCAGGCGGGGGGUUCGGGGACCCAGCCGGCGGCACAGUCGCGGCUGGUGGAGCGGGAGGCGGAGUGGCAGCGUGCAGCGGCGCAGCUGACCACCACGGCGGCGCAGCAUUUCCACAAUAACCCGGUGGCUCUGGACCCCUGGCUCCACCGCACCUCUGCGGCAGCCGCGCUGCAGAACACGCCGGCGAGAGAACUGCAGUCGUAUGCGUCCCCGUCCCAGCAGUCGGGUGAGGGGCCGCGGCGGUCCGCGCGGCUGCAGGAGCAGGCGGCGGGCGGGGCGGGGCCUAGCACGGGGCCUGCCACGGCGGCGGCGGCAGCAGCGGCGGCGGUGGAGGGCGACCCUCGCAUGCCGCCCCCGGAUGCGUCCCUUCUGCGGGGUACGUGGCGGAGGCUGUGGGACAGCCACGCCAGUCGGGGGGCAAAGGUGCUUGUGUACCGGCUGCAACAUGCUUACCUGCCUUGCGGGCUGUACAAGGCGGGCAAGGGCAUUCGGCCACGGGUGACCACGGGGUGCGGGGGGUUGGGGGCGCACUGUCCUCACCCCGCCUGCGGGCCACCUGGCCCGCGGGCGUGGGCCAGCCUGACACACAUCUUCCUGGAGUGUCCAGCUUAUGCGCAGGCGAGGAAGUGGCUGCAGCAGCUGUGGGCCUGCGUUGCGCCCCAGGCAGCGGCGCCGCCAGUGACGGACGCGGGCUUCAUGCUGGGGGACCGCAUGGGUAUGUGGGCCUCAGGCCCGCGGGGGGCGGGCGCGCUGCUGUGGAGCACUUUGCGGGCCACCUUCUUGUACGCCGUCUGGUGUGCGUACUGGUCCCGUGAGCCUGCUAAGCAGACGUCGGAGCAUGUGGUUCGGGAGGUGGUCAGCGAGCUGCGCAGGGUGAUGCAGCUGCGUUUCACUGCCGCCACGCUAACCCCUGAAACCCUGUCGGCUCUGCCCACACAGCUUCUCACCGCGCAGCUCAAGGCUGCUAAGCUGGAGCACUUUGUUGCCAUCUGGUCGGCGGGUGGCGCGCUUUGUGAAGUGGAGGAGGUUCAGGGUGGGUCACCGAAGUUGAACUUGCGGCUGACGCUUGCAUCACCUGUGCAGGCCCCCUAGGUUUCCUUUUGGGCGGCGGUUCUUUCCAUGCGCUGGCGUGGCGUUUUAUCAUCAUCAGCUUGUCUGGCGCCCAUGAGUACUAGCUCUGGCUGGAGUGGCAGCGCCUGGGCGGCUGUGGGACUUCCUGCACAGCGCGUCUUGCAGCGGACUGGAGCCCACUUAGUCAGCGCCACAUCUGGCCCGUUUAGUUUUCUGCUUGUGUCUCCUCUGCCGGUUCUCCUGGGGUGUUGCUUAAGCAACCGACUUGUGGGGGUGGGGUGGGUUUUGGGCGGGGCGAGUGCGUAGCGCUGGUGUUUUCUUUUCUGGCGCGCAGUGGUGGUGGUUCUUGCGGUUGGCUGUGGUGUAGGUUGGUGCUUGGGUUAGGUCUGGCGGUGUUUUUGUGCAACCCCUCCCGGGGGGCGGGGGGGCCAGCCUCCUGCUCUGUCUGCCGGGUCGGGGUGGGGUGGGGUGGGAUGGUUUGGGGUGUUUGGUGGCGGUUUUCGAGGUGUUUGCUUUCUGUUUUCUUCUCUCUUCUUCUCUUCUUGCCCUGUCAGGGUUCUGGUCUCGGGGACCAGGCUGCUUUCUGGCAGCAGGGGGGCAGCGCGUCUGCCCCUGUUCAACCUUGUAAGGAUGAUUCCUCAAAAAAAAAAAAAAAGCAGGCGGAUCCAGCGCAGCAUGCGCGGCCCAAACCCAAGUCCCUCCGCGGACGCAUACAGCCACUGCCGGUGCACCCGGUCAUACGCCUUUUCAAUGUCCAAGAAGUACAGCGCACCACCCUGCCGUGGCGUGCCAUCCGCGCCCACGUCCAGGCGCAUCCAUUCGAUCAGGCCUUGGAGGUACAGCGCGUUGUCUCCAAUCCAGCGGCCGGUGAUGAACGCAGUCUGCAGCUCAUCCACAACUGCAUCCAGGGCGGGCUGCAGGCGGGCGCUGACGGCCUUGGACACCAUCUUGAAGUCGCAGUUGAGCAGCGUGAUGGGCCGGUAGGACGCCAGCUCGGCGCGGUCCAGGCUUUUGCCCUUGUAGAUGAGCGUAAUGAUGCCCUCCCGCCAGGAAGCAGGCAGCGCCGCCGCCAUUUCGCCGCCAUCGUGGGCGUCUGCAGCGGCAGCAAAGGCAGCGGCAGCAGCAGCACACAAGCGCGGGCCCAGCAGUGCCCAGAAUACCUUGUACACCUCGUACGGGACCCCGUCCGACCCAGGUGCUUUACCAUUGGCGGAGCCAGCCAGCGCUGCCAUCAGCUCGGCAUCACUGAGGGCGCCGUCACCGGACCCCUCUGCGGCGGCGUUCAGAUCCGCCGGAACCUUGCGGUCAAUGGCUGCCAGAAGCUGUUGCUGCGACGCCGUACAGACCGGCUGCACGCGGAACAGGCCGGUGGGGCUGGUGCUGCUGUACAUGGCUGCGGCGGCUGCUGAGACAGUGUUGCGCGUGCCCGGCCCCGUGAGCGCCACAGGCGCCGGUUGCCCUGGCACCUUCAAGUGCGUGAUGGGCUCCUGCGCGCCGGCUGCUGGCUCGUCAGCCUGCCGAUGGAACCAGCGCGUGCCCCGCUCCCCAUGCUCCUCCAUCAGUGCAGCGCGGGCAUUGUGGCUGGCCGCUGCGGCAGCUGCCCGCUCCUCCCGCACCGCCAAGUUGGCCAUGGCCGCAGCCUGACGCUGCGCGGCGCUGGCACCCGGCCGGUCGGCCAGGGCAGCGGCCGUGUCUGCGGCCAGCACCACGCCAUGCAGCCCAUCCCGGGUCUGGCGUGCAUGCCGACGGUGGAUGCUGGUGGCGGCCUCCCGCAAGAAGAACUUGUCCGCCUCCCAUUGCGUGCAAGCGCCGUCACCUGUACUGGCCACGGGAUUGGCGGCAACGUGCGCCUCCAAGCGCUGCUCGAGCUCCAAACGCAGCGAGGGGUGAAACAGCAGGUAUGUGGGGAAGCGCCACUGCUCCCGGUGCGCAUGUGGCAGGUCGGGCAAGGACAGGGUGAGCAGCACACCGUUGUGGUCCCCAGGCGCCCCAUACGUGCGAGCGACAUCCACCACCCACGGCGCCGCGGUGGCACUGACAUACCACCGAUCCAGGCGUGCAGGAGUGGCCGGCUUGGGCGUGGCCGGAUGCGUGUAGCCCUUGGCGCCGCCACGCUUGCUCGCCCAAGGGUCCACCAGACUGAACUGGGCGAGGAGGCUGGCAAGUUGCGGGGCACCUGCAGCACGUGACGGGCUAGGGGCCGCCUCCUGACCGGCAUCGGUGACACAGUUCCAGUCCCCACCGACAACAAGCACCCUGUCCGUGGCCAGGUGGGGAUGCAGCCCGGCAAAGAAAGCAGGCUUGUCCGCCACGGCCGUGGGCGCAUACACACACACGAAGCGCAGGCGCAAGUGACCCACGUCCCAAUCCCAACAUACCACACGGCCCGCCGCAUCCGUUGACGGCGGCUGCAGUACGCAGCCUGGAAGGGACAGCCGACUCCGCGCCAGGAUAGCCGCCCACAAAGCUUCUCACCGCACAGCUCAAGGCGGCUAAGCUGGAGCAGUUUGUUGCCAUCUGGACGGCGGGUGGCGCGCUUUGUGAAGUGGAGGAGGUUCAGGGUGGGUCACCGAAGUUGCACUUGCGGCUGACGCUUGCAUCACCUGUGCAGGCCCCCUAGAUUUCCUUCUGGGCAGCAUUUCUUUCCAGGCGCUGGCGUGGCGUAGUAUCGUCAUCAGCUUGUCUGGCGCCCAUGAGUACUAGCUCUGGCUGGAUUGGCAGCGCCUGGGCGGCUGUGGGACUUCCUGCACAGCGCGUCUUGCAGCGGACUGGAGCCCGCUUAGUCAGCGCCACCACCGGCUCCGGCCCGCCCUGCAGCCAUGCCGUGCCCGGCGCCAGCACAGCAGGCGGGGGGUUCAGGGACCCAGCCGGCGGCACAGUCGCGGCUGGUGGAGCGGGAGGCGGAGUGGCAGCGUGCAGCGGCGCAGCUGACCACCACGGCGGCGCAGCAUUUCCACAAUAACCCGGUGGCUCUGGACCCCUGGCUCCACCGCACCUCUGCGGCAGCCGGGCUGCAGAACACGCCAGCGAGAGAACUGCAGUCGUAUGCGUCCCCGUCCCAGCAGUCGGGUGAGGGGCCGCGGCGGUCCGCGCGGCUGCAGGAGCAGGCGGCGGGCGGGGCGGGGCCUAGCACGGGGCCUGCCACGGCGGCGGCGGCAGCAGCGGCGGCAGUGGAGGGCGACCCUCGCAUGCCGCCCCCGGAUGCGUCCCUUCUGCGGGGUACGUGGCGGAGGCUGUGGGACAGCCACGCCAGUCGGGGGGCAAAGGUACUUGUGUACCGGCUGCAACAUGCUUACCUGCCUUGCGGGCUGUACAGGGCGGGCAAGGGAAUUCGUCCACGGGUGACCACGGGGUGCGGGGGGUUGGGGGCGCACUGUCCUCACCCCGCUUGCGGGCCACCUGGCCCGCGGGCGUGGGCCAGCCUGACGCACAUCUUCCUGGAGUGUCCAGCUUAUGCGCAGGCGAGGACGUGGCUGCAGCAGCUGUGGGCCUGUGUUGCGCCCCAGGCAGCGGCGCCGCCAGUGACGGACGCGGGCUUCAUGCUGGGGGACCGCAUGGGUAUGUGGGCCUCAGGCCCGCGGGGGGCGGGAGCGCUGCUGUGGAGCACUUUGCGGGCCACCUUCUUGUACGCCGUCUGGUGUGCGUACUGGUCCCGCGAGCCUGCUAAACAGACGUCGGAGCAUGUGGUUCGGGAGGUGGUCAGCGAGCUGCGCAGGGUGAUGCGGCUGCGUUUCACUGCCGCCACGCUAACCCCUGAAACCCUGUCGGCUCUGCCCACACAGCUUCUCACCGCACAGCUCAAGGCGGCUAAGCUGGAGCAGUUUGUUGCCAUCUGGACGGCGGGUGGCGCGCUUUGUGAAGUGGAGGAGGUUCAGGGUGGGUCACCGAAGUUGCACUUGCGGCUGACGCUUGCAUCACCUGUGCAGGCCCCCUAGAUUUCCUUCUGGGCAGCAUUUCUUUCCAGGCGCUGGCGUGGCGUAGUAUCGUCAUCAGCUUGUCUGGCGCCCAUGAGUACUAGCUCUGGCUGGAGUGGCAGCGCCUGGGCGGCUGUGGGACUUCCUGCACAGCGCGUCUUGCAGCGGACUGGAGUACGCUUAGUCAGCGCCACAUCUGGCCCGUUUAGUUUUCUGCUUGUGUCUCCUCUGCCGGUUCUCCUGGGGUGUUGCUUAAGCAACCGACUUGUGGGGGUGGGGUGGGUUUGGGCGGGGCGAGUGCGUAGCGCUGGUGUUUCCUCUUCUGGCGCGCGGUGGUGGUGGUUCUUGCGGUUAGGCUGUGGUGUAGGUUGGUGCUUGGGUUAGGUCUGGCGGUGUUUUUGUGCAACCCCUCCCGGGGGGCGGGGGGGCCAGCCUCCUGCUCUGUCUGCCGGGUCGGGGUGGGGUGGGGUGGGAUGGAUGGCAGUUUCUCCUUGCAGCGCGAUUGUUUCCUUACGAGAUUGGUUCAAAGUUAAUCCCCUCCCAACCCUACACACCUACACCCUACAUUUACACUACACACAGCUCCGGCGGCGCCACCAAGUCGGGUCCGGUGCGGCCGGCCCAGGGCGGUCUGACACGGGAGGCCUACGCCAAGGCGGUGGCCAAGAAGGCACACCAGGCGCAGGUGCGGGUGGGGAGGGGGAGGUCGGGGUGGUGGGGAGNNNNNNNNNNNNNNNNNNNNNNNNNNNNNNNNNNNNNNNNNNNNNNNNNNNNNNNNNNNNNNNNNNNNNNNNNNNNNNNNNNNNNNNNNNNNNNNNNNNNUGGAUUGGCAGCGCCUGGGCGGCUGUGGGACUUCCUGCACAGCGCGUCUUGCAGCGGACUGGAGCCCGCUUAGUCAGCGCCACCACCGGCUCCGGCCCGCCCUGCAGCCAUGCCGUGCCCGGCGCCAGCACAGCAGGCGGGGGGUUCAGGGACCCAGCCGGCGGCACAGUCGCGGCUGGUGGAGCGGGAGGCGGAGUGGCAGCGUGCAGCGGCGCAGCUGACCACCACGGCGGCGCAGCAUUUCCACAAUAACCCGGUGGCUCUGGACCCCUGGCUUCACCGCACCUCUGCGGCAGCCGGGCUGCAGAACACGCCGGCGAGAGAACUGCAGUCGUAUGCGUCCCCGUCCCAGCAGUCGGGUGAGGGGCCGCGGCGGUCCGCGCGGCUGCAGGAGCAGGCGGCGGGCGGGGCGGGACCUAGCACUGGGCCUGCCACGGCGGUGGCGGCAGCAGCGGCGGCGGUGGAGGGCGACCCUCGCAUGCCGCCCCCGGAUGCGUCCCUUCUGCGGGGUACGUGGCGGAGGCUGUGGGACAGCCAUGCCAGUCGGGGGGCAAAGGUGCUGGUGUACAGGCUGCAACAUGCUUACCUGCCUUGCGGGCUGUACAGGGCGGGCAAGGGCAUUCGGCCACGGGUGACCACGGGGUGCGGGGGGUUGGGGGCGCACUGUCCUCACCCCGCCUGCGGGCCACCUGGCCCGCGGGCGUGGGCCAGCCUGACGCACAUCUUCCUGGAGUGUCCAGCUUAUGCGCAGGCGAGGACGUGGCUGCAGCAGCUGUGGGCCUGCGUUGCGCCCCAGGCAGCGGCGCCGCCAGUGACGGACGCGGGCUUCAUGCUGGGGGACCGCAUGGGUAUGUGGGCCUCAGGCCCGCGGGGGGCGGGCGCACUGCUGUGGAGCACUUUGCGGGCCACCUUCUUGUACGCCGUCUGGUGUGCGUACUGGUCCCGCGAGCCUGCUAAGCAGACGUCGGAGCAUGUGGUUCGGGAGGUGGUCAGCGAGCUGCGCAGGGUGAUGCGGCUGCGUUUCACUGCCGCCACGCUAACCCCUGAAACCCUGUCGGCUCUGCCCACUCAGCUUCUCACCGCACAGCUCAAGGCGGCUAAGCUGGAGCACUUUGUUGCCAUCUGGUCGGCGGGUGGCGCGCUUUGUGAAGUGGAGGAGGUUCAGGGUGGGUCACCGAAGUUGAACUUGCGGCUGACGCUUGCAUCACCUGUGCAGGCCCCCUAGGUUUCCUUUUGGGCGGCGUUUCUUUCCAGGCGCUGGCGUGGCGUUUUAUCGUCAUCGGCUUAUCUGGCGCCCAUGUGUUUUAGCUCUGGCUGGCGUCACAGCGCCUGGGCGGCUGUGGGCCUUCCUGCACAGCGCGUCUUGCAGCGGGCUGGAGCCCGCUUAGUCAGCGCCACAUCUGGCCCGUUUAGUUUUCUGCUUGUGUCUCCUCUGCCGGUUCUCCUGGGGUGUUGCUUAAGCAACCGACUUGUGGAGGUGGGGUGGGUUUGGGCGGGGCGAGUGCGUAGCUCUGGUGUUUUCUUUUCUGGCGCACGGUGGUGGUGGUUCUUGCGGUUAGGCUGUGGUGUAGGUUGGUGCUUGGGUUAGGUCUGGCGGUGUUUUUGUGCAACCCCUCCCGGGGGGCGGGGGGGCCAGCCUCCUGCUCUGUCUGCCGGGUCGGGGUGGGGUGGAGUGGGUUUGGUGGUUGCUGGCGUUUUCGAGGUGUUUGCUUUCUGUUUUCUUCUCUUCUCUUCUCUUCUUGCCCUUUCAGGGUUCUGGUCUCGGGGACCAGGCUGCUUUCAGGCAGCAGGGGGGCAGCGCGUCUGCCCCUGUUCAACCUUGUAAGGAUGAUUCCUCAAAAAAAGGUGCGGUGGAGCCAGGGGUCCAGAGCCACCGGGUUAUUGUGGAAAUGCUGCGCCGCCGUGGUGGUCAGCUGCGCCGCUGCACGCUGCCACUCCGCCUCCCGCUCCACCAGCCGCGACUGUGCCGCCGGCUGGGGCCCCGAACCCCCCGCCUGCUGUGCUGGCGCUGGGCACGGCAUGGCUGCAGGGCGGGCCGGAGCCGGUGGUGCAGCCGUGUUAGCCGCGGUGAUGGCCCGCCGCACGUCCCGCACCGUGUAGUCCGCCAAGCUGACACCCGCAAUCCGGCAGUGCUCCGGGUGCACCACCACCCCAGCCUCCGGCGCCAGGAAGUAUGGCGCCCGAGGCCACGCCCCCGCCCGUUCCCCUGGUGAUGCUGCAUCGUACGCCGCCCGCUCUUCAAAGGUCCACACGUGCCGCGGCUUGCGAUGCUGCAGCACACAGGCAGGCUGCCACGCCCCAUCCACCGCCGGGGGCAGCACGCCAGGCCCAGGCUCCAAGAGCCGCCCCGUGUAGUGGACGUAGGACACAGCCCCCGCAGCGUUAGCCACCCACAGCUGGUCCAGGCUAACCCGCCACUGUGGCGGCGCCGCUGGCGGCUGAGUGGCUGGCUGCGGCGGAUGCUGUUCCACACCCGCGCUCCGCACGUGGCCGACCGCGGCCGCCAGCCUGGCCCGCGGGCGUGGGCCAGCCUAACGCACAUCUUCCUGGAGUGUCCAGCUUAUGCGCAGGUGAGGACGUGGCUGCAGCAGCUGUGGGCCUGCGUUGCGCCCCAGGCAGCGGCGCCGCCAGUGACGGACGCGGGCUUCAUGCUGGGGGACCGCAUGGGUAUGUGGGCCUCAGGCCCGCGGGGGGCGGGCGCGCUGCUGUGGAGCACUUUGCGGGCCACCUUCUUGUACGCCGUCUGGUGUGCGUACUGGUCCCGCGAGCCUGCUAAGCAGACGUCGGAGCAUGUGGUUCGGGAGGUGGUCAGCGAGCUGCGCAGGGUGAUGCGGCUGCGUUUCACUGCCGCCACGCUAACCCCUGAAACCCUGUCGGCUCUGCCCACUCAGCUUCUCACCGCACAGCUCAAGGCGGCUAAGCUGGAGCAUUUUGUUGCCAUCUGGACGGCGGGUGGCGCGCUUUGUGAAGUGGAGGAGGUUCAGGGUUGGUCACCGAAGUUGAACUUGCGGCUGACGCUUGCAUCACCUGUGCAGGCCCCCUAGGUUUCCUCUUGGGCGGCGCUUCUUUCCAGACGCUGGCGUGGCGUAUUAUCGUCAUCAGCUGAUCUGGCGCCCAUGUGUUUUAGCUCUGGCUGGCGUCACAGCACCUGGGCGGCUGUGGGACUUCCUGCACAGCGCGUCUUGCAGCGGGCUGGAGCCCGCUUAGUCAGCGCCACAUCUGGCCCGUUUAGUUUUCUGCUUGUGUCUCCUCUGCCGGUUCUCCUGGGGUGUUGCUUAAGCAACCGACUUGUGGGGGUGGGGUGGGUUUGGGCGGGGCGAGUGCGUAGCGCUGGUGUUUCUUUUUCUUGCGCGCGGUGGUGGUGGUUCUUGCGGUUAGGCUGUGGUGUAGGUUGGUGCUUGGGUUAGGUCUGGCGGUGUUUUUGUGCAACCCCUCCCGGGGGGCGGGGGGGCCAGCCUCCUGCUCUGUCUGCCGGGUCGGGGUGGGGUGGGAUGGGAUGGAUGGGGGUGGUUGGUGGCGGUUUUCGAGGUGUUUGUUUUCUGUUUUUCUUCUCUUCUCUUCUCUUCUUGCCCUGUCAGGGUUCUGGUCUCGGGGACCAGGCUGCUUUCAGGCAGCAGGGGGGCAGCGCGUCUGCCCCUGGUCAACCUUGUAAGGAUGAUUCCUCAAAAUAAAAAGACGUCGAAGCAUGUGGUUCGGGAGGUGAUCAGCGAGCUGCGAAGGGUGAUGCAGCUGCGUUUCACUGCCGCCACGCUAACCCCUGAAACCCUGUCGGCUCUGCCCACACAGCUUCUCACCGCACAGCUCAAGGCGGCUAAGCUGGAGCACUUUGUUGCCAUCUGGUCGGCGGGUGGCGCGCUUUGUGAAGUGGAGGAGGUUCAGGGUGGGUCACCGAAGUUGAACUUGCGGCUGACGCUUGCAUCACCUGUGCAGGCCCCCUAGAUUUCCUCUUGGGCGGCAUUUCUUUCCAGGCGCUGGCGUGGCGUAUUAUCGUCAUCAGCUGAUCUGGCGCCCAUGUGUUUUAGCUCUGGCUGGCAUCGCAGCGCCUGGGCGGCUGUGGGCCUUCCUGCACAGCGCGUCUUGCAGCGGGCUGGAGCCCGCUUAGUCAGCGCCACCACCGGCUCCGGCCCGCCCUGCAGCCAUGCCGUGCCCGGCGCCAGCUCAGCAGGCGGGGGGUUCAGGGACCCAGCCGGCGGCACAGUCGCGGCUGGUGGAGCGGGAGGCGGAGUGGCAGCGUGCAGCGGCGCAGCUGACCACCACGGCGGCGCAGCAUUUCCACAAUAACCCGGUGGCUCUGGACCCCUGGCUCCACCGCACCUCUGCGGCAGCCGGGCUGCAGAACACGCCAGCGAGAGAACUGCAGUCGUAUGCGUCCCCGUCCCAGCAGUCAGGUGAGGGGCCGCGGCGGUCUGCGCGGCUGCAGGAGCAGGCGGCGGGAGGGGCGGGGCCUAGCACGGGGCCUGCCACGGCGGCGGCGGCAGCAGCGGCGGCAGUGGAGGGCGACCCUCGCAUGCCGCCCCCGGAUGCGUCCCUUCUGCGGGGUACGUGGCGGAGGCUGUGGGACAGCCACGCCAGUCGGGGGGCAAAGGUACUUGUGUACCGGCUGCAACAUGCUUACCUGCCUUGCGGGCUGUACAGGGCGGGCAAGGGAAUUCGUCCACGGGUGACCACGGGGUGCGGGGGGUUGGGGGCGCACUGUCCUCACCCCGCCUGCGGGCCACCUGGCCCGCGGGCGUGGGCCAGCUUGACGCACAUCUUCCUGGAGUGUCCAGCUUAUGCGCAGGCGAGGACGUGGCUGCAGCAGCUGUGGGCCUGUGUUGCGCCCCAGGCAGCGGCGCCGCCAGUGACGGACGCGGGCUUCAUGCUGGGGGACCGCAUGGGUAUGUGGGCCUCAGGCCCGCGGGGGGCGGGAGCGCUGCUGUGGAGUACUUUGCGGGCCACCUUCUUGUACGCCGUCUGGUGUGCGUACUGGUCCCGCGAGCCUGCUAAGCAGACGUCGGAGCAUGUGGUUCGGGAGGUGGUCAGCGAGCUGCGCAGGGUGAUGCGGCUGCGUUUCACUGCCGCCACGCUAACCCCUGAAACCCUGUCGGCUCUGCCCACACAGCUUCUCACCGCACAGCUCAAGGCGGCUAAGCUGGAGCACUUUGUUGCCAUCUGGUCGGCGGGUGGCGCGCUUUGUGAAGUGGAGGAGGUUCAGGGUGGGUCACCGAAGUUGAACUUGCGGCUGACGCUUGCAUCAGCUGUGCAGGCCCCCUAGGUUUCCUUUUGGGCGGCGUUUCUUUCCAGGCGCUGGCGUGGUGUAUUAUCGUCAUCAGCUUAUCUGGCGCCCAUGUGUUUUAGCUCUGGCUGGCGUCGCAGCGCCUGGGCGGCUGUGGGCCUUCCUGCACAGCGCGUCUUGCAGCGGGCUGGAGCCCGCUUAGUCAGCGCCACAUCUGGCCCGUUUAGUUUUCUGCUUGUGUCUCCUCUGCCGGUUCUCCUGGGGUGUUGCUUAAGCAACCGACUUGUGGUGGUGGGGUGGGUUGGGGCGGGGCGAGUGCGUAGCGCUGGUGUUUCCUUUUCUGGUGCGCGGUGGUGGUGGUUCUUGCGGUUAGGCUGUGGUGUAGGUUGGUGCUUGGGUUAGGUCUGGCGGUGUUUUUGUGCAACCCCUCCCGGGGGGCGGGGGGGCCAGCCUCCUGCUCUGUCUGCCGGGUCGGGGUGGGGUGGGGUGGGAUGGGUGGGGGUGGUUGGUGGCGGUUUUCGAGGUGUUUGCUUUCUGUUUUCUUCUCUUUUCUUCUCUUCUUGCCCUGUCAGGGUUCUGGUCUCGGGGACCAGGCUGUCUUCAGGCAGCAGGGGGGCAGCGCGUCUGCCCCUGUUCAACCUUGUAAGGAUGAUUGCUCAAAAAAAAUCCAGAUGCAGCCACUGACGUCCUAUCUGCGGCGGCAGGUGGAGCAAGGGGCACUGCGCACGCCCCUGUUACCCAGUGGCGAGCAGGCGCCACCGGCUGCCCACCACGCUGACGACACGACCCUCACGGCGCGCGACCCGGCGGUGGACGGGCCGGUCCUGAUGGCGGCAGUACAGCUGUUCUGCCGCGCGUCCAACGCCCGUGUCCAUCCGGACAAGAGCAAGGCCAUGGGCCUUGGCAGGUUUGCGCACCUGACGGGCACUUGCCCACACACGGGGGUGCCGUUUACCACUGGCGCCGUGACGCACCUGGGUGUGCCCCUGUCGUGGGACUCUGAUGCGGCUGCAGCUGACCUGUACACCCGGCGGGCUCGCGGCAUGGCGUUUGUGGCGCGUCUGUGGGCCUGUCUCUGACUCUCGUUGGCCGUGUGCACAUUGCGAAGCAGGUGCUGGCGGCGAAGCUGGCCUACCACUUCAGCUUGCUCAACCCAUCGCCUGCGCAGCUGAAGGAACUCACCGACCUGGUGGACCACAUUGCUGCGCGCUCCAUGCACGCUGAGGACGCCAGCCUGGUGUCGCACGGGAACCCGCUCCUGCUGCCAAAGCGGGAAACGGCAUGUCUGCCGUACAAGGACGGGGGUGUCAACCACGUCGACCUGCCUGCGUUCCUGUCUGCCCUGCAAGCUAAGACUUUCGCCCUCCUUGCCCAGCCAGGCCGGCAACCCUGGAAGAUGCUCACCCGGGCGCUGCUUACCCAUGUGCGCCCGGACUCCGCCACCACGUGGGCGUGGGUGUACAGCGACGCGCCGGCGCCAGCGGGGCUGCCUGCCCGGCUGGCGGCCGCGGUCGGCCACGUGCGGAGCGCGGGUGUGGCACAGCAUCCGCCGCAGCCAGCCACUCAGCCGCCAGCGGCGCCGCCACAGUGGCGGGUUAGCCUGGACCAGCUGUGGGUGGCUAACGCUGCGGGGGCUGUGUCCUACGUCCACUACACGGGGCGGCUCUUGGAGCCUGGGCCUGGCGUGCUGCCCCCGGCGGUGGAUGGGGCGUGGCAGCCUGCCUGUGUGCUGCAGCAUCGCAAGCCGCGGCACCUGUGAACCUUUGAAGAGCGGGUGGCGUACGAUGCAGCAUCACCAGGGGAACGGGCGGGGGCGUGGCCUCGGGCGCCGUACUUCCUGGCGCCGGAGGCUGGGGUGGUGGUGCACCCGGAGCACUGCCGGAUUGCGGGUGUCAGCUUGGCGGACUACACGGUGCGGGACGUGCGGCGGGCCAUCACCGCGGCUAACCCGGCCGCACCUCCGGCUCCGGCCCGCCCUGCAGCCAUGCCGUGCCCAGCGCCAGCACAGCUGGCGGGGGGUUCGGGGACCCAGCCGGCGGCCCAGUCGCGGCUGGCGGAGCGGGAGGCGGAGUGGCAGCGUGCAGCGGCGCAGCUGACCACCACGGCGGCGCAGCAUUUCCACAAUAACCCGGUGGCUCUGGACCCCUGGCUCCACCGCACCUCUGCGGCAGCCGCGCUGCAGAACACGCCGGCGAGAGAAAGAAAGAAAGAAAGGUUACACUGGGCCUAAGCUCCUAGCGUGAGAUUAUCGGAGAAUCGCUUGUGAGUGCAACCCCAGCACUGCCAAGCAGACUCUACGGUCUGCACCACCGCAUCCUAGCCACCAUCAUCCUAGCACAUCCGAGCCGCCCUAUCCUAGCCAUCACCCUAUGUCGCUAGGGAACGCCGCAUUAAAGCUGCGGAGCACUGCCAGUUAGUUGCAACAUGCCAGAGCCAUGGCGCUCCUGCUUCGACCUUGGAUCUUGGACCCUGGACCGCACCCCUGGACGCCUCUAAUUCGGACUUCUGCACCACGACCUUUUUCAUUCGUGGGAUCACCGAUCGGUUUUGCACCAAUCUUUCGCCUUUUGCAUAAUUGGGCUUUUAUCCGGAUUUGUACCCGGGUCCCUUCUGCCGUAAGGACGAGUCAAAUCGCUAAACUAGUUAGCAAUCCGGUGAUUGGGGGCGGGGGGGCCAGCCUCCUGCUCUGUCUGCCGGGUCGGGGUGGGGUGGGGUGGGAUGGAUGGGGGUGGUUGGUGGCGGUUUUCGAGGUGUUUGCUUUCUGGUUUCUUCUCUUUUCUUCUCUUCUUGCCCUGUCAGGGUUCUGGUCUCGGGGACCAGGCUGCUUUCAGGCAGCAGGGGGGCAGCGCGUCUGCCCCUGUUCAACCUUGUAAGGAUGAUUCCUCAAAAAAAAAAUCACCCUGUCCGAGGCCAGGUGGGUAUGCAGCCCGGCAAAGAAAGCAGGCUUGUCCGCCACGGCCGUGGGCGCAUACACACACAAAGCGCAGGCGCAGGUGACCCACGUCCCAAUCCCAACAUACCGCACGGCCCGCCGCAUCCGUUGACGGCGGCUGCAGUACGCAGCCUGGAAGGGACAGCCGACUCCGCGCCAGGAUAGCCGUCCCACAGGAGCGGGGCGACGCUGCCGGGCUGGCAGCAAGGCAGUGGCGCCACGGAAGGCAUGCCCCCUGCGCGGCACGAAGGCAAGACUCCAGCACCGUCGUGUCAGUAGCGUGGGUCUCCUGCACCAUCCCCACAUCCGCCCCAACUUGCUGUAGGUGCGAGACCAGCGCCCGCGCCUUGAACGGCGAGCCCAGGCCAUUGACAUUCACUGUCAGCAGCCGAAGGUUCGCCGCUCCCACUGGUGGCCGCAUUAUGAGCCCCCGCCGGCCACGGCAGCGCCGUGGCGGUUGCGGUUGCUGUUGCUGCUGUGGCGUUUGCCGCGGCGGCCGCCACCCUGGCUGGGGGGCGCUCCGCCGCUGCUGGUGCUCAUGCUAGCGGCACCUGAGCUGGCGCCGCCGGGGUGCAAUGGAGCGCUGCCCAGGCUCAUGAGGCUGGAGGUACUGCGGCUGCGGUGCUGACGUUGCCGGCGGCUGGGCCCGCUGGCCCCGCCGGGGUCCGCCGGCCCACGCUUAGCGGACCGCAGGGUGCGGGCAUCUAGGAGCACGUAGUCCAUGUAGGCCGUCUGCACCUGCUGCGCGGCGUCAUCCAGCUGCUCCGUCACGUUGUUUUUUGAGGAAUCAUCCUUACAAGGUUGAACAGGGGCAGACGCGCUGCCCCCCUGCUGCCUGAAAGCAGCCUGGUCCCCGAGACCAGAACCCUGACAGGGCAAGAAGAGAAGAAAAGAGAAGAAAACAGAAAGCAAACACCUCGAACACCGCCACCAACCACCCCCACCCAUCCCGACCCGGCAGACAGAGCAGGAGGCUGGCCCCCCCGCCCCCCGGGAGGGGUUGCACAAAAACACCGCCAGACCUAACCCAAGCAACCAACCUACACCACAGCCUAACCGCAAGAACCACCACCGCCGCGCGCCAGAAAAGAAAACACCAGCGCUACGCACUCGCCCCGCCCAAACCCACCCCACCCCCACAAGUCGGUUGCUUAAGCAACACCCCAGGAGAAGCGGCAGAGGAGACACAAGCAGAAAACUAAACGGGCCAGAUGUGGCGCUGACUAAGCGGGCUCC
Molecule: long non-coding RNA, 29200 nt
Filed under: Chlamydomonas reinhardtii
Lineage: Eukaryota; Viridiplantae; Chlorophyta; Chlorophyceae; Chlamydomonadales; Chlamydomonadaceae
Description: long non-coding RNA (CREI_LNC001151)
Source: RNAcentral